UACGGAGGGUGCAAGCGUUAUCCGGAUUCACUGGGUUUAAAGGGUGCGUAGGCGGGUAUGUAAGUCAGCGGUGAAAUCCCCGAGCUUAACUUGGGAACUGCCGUUGAUACUAUAUAUCUUGAAUGUCGUGGAGGUUAGCGGAAUAUGUCAUGGUAGCGGUGAAAUGCUUAGAUAUGACUAGAACACCCAUUGCGAAAGGCAGCUAACUACGCGAAUAUUUGACGCUGAGGCACGAAAGCGUGGGGAUCAAACAGG
This 255-nucleotide ribosomal RNA is filed under the name uncultured bacterium. RNAcentral's name for it is "partial 16S ribosomal RNA". It matches the Rfam family "Bacterial small subunit ribosomal RNA", at positions 524 to 776 of the family's 1533-position model. The record is from RNAcentral.